AAAGAAUGCCAACAUCAAGACAGACCAUGAUGUCUCGUGUGGGACUGCUGCGUUCACAGAUGGAAGAGGUGAAGGUUUAGUGGAGGGAUCCCAUUUUCUAUGUAUAAGAUGCAGAGACAACUUAAGGGAGCUAUUUCAGGAUAUAUUUGGGUAAAACUAAAUACACAGUAUGAACUCCCCAUGAUAAAAAUAUAGCCCACUAUAGUGAUGACACUUGCUAUACUCUAGUUAGGAGAUUUGUAAAGCUAAUUAAAAAUAAUUACUGUGACACCAAAAAAUAGAAACUAUAUAUCUGGUUGUGCAUGUGAGCACAAGAAUUUGUUUCUUAUUUUUAAGCUCAGCUUUUGGCAAGCUUUGUCCAUCUGUACAGCUUACAGUCUCAAGAGGUUUAUUAAAUUUGGGAAAUAUGCCAGCUAGCCAAUAAUUCAAAGUUUAAAAUAACAGGGAUAGAGAAUACUUCAGACAACCAUUUUUAGCUCAAAUAAGAAAUCUUGACUUUAAUUCUGAAUUCAGUGUUUUUCUUCAAAAUCUGCAGUAUCAGGAUCACUUAGGAUGAACACACCUGCUGAAUUUAUUUUGAUAAAUGCAUAGUUUGUGUUUUGUUGGUGUUAAAAAUACGUUAUUCAAAACAUUUGAGCAUACAUCCAGAGUCUAUCACCCUCCAAAAUACCUUUCAACUGUUGAAAGACAGUUUAUAAAUUCUAACAAACCCUUGUGUGGUGCACAGGAGACAGAAGUGGAGG
Long non-coding RNA from Gavialis gangeticus (Gharial), 743 nucleotides. RefSeq lists it as uncharacterized. Lineage: Eukaryota; Metazoa; Chordata; Crocodylia; Gavialidae. The transcript is spliced from 2 exons. The record is from RefSeq and is a predicted model, not a curated record.